CUGACUCAGACUAGCCAUGCACGUCUAGUACAAACUAAAUGAUGGUGAAACUGCAAAUGGCUCAUUACAACGGUUAUGAUGUACCCGGGAGUUCCGAUGGAUAUUUCCAGUAACACUAGAACUAAUACAUGUCCCUGCGUUUAUUAGUUUCGCACAGUCCGUCGCUGAGUCAUGGUAAACAGUUGAUCGACUCGACGUCCCGGAACAGUUUCCGCCCCAUCAGCUUCGAUGGUUGGGUAUUGGCCUACCAUUGCAUCAACGGGUAACGAGGAAUUAGGGUUUGAUUUCGGAGAGGGAGCCUGAGAAACGGCUACCACAUCUACGGAUGGCAGCAGGCGCGCAAAUUACCCAAUGCAGACACUGUGAGGUAGUGACGAGAAAUAAUAAAGCGGGACUUCUGUUUCGCUAUUAUAAUGAGGAAUAACCAAAGGUCAUUCCGAUUAGCAACUGAUGGGAAAGUCUGGUGCCAGCAGCCGCGGUAAUACCAGCGUCAGUAGCAU
RNAcentral lists this ribosomal RNA (500 nucleotides) under uncultured Myrionecta. RNAcentral's name for it is "SSU rRNA". It matches the Rfam family "Eukaryotic small subunit ribosomal RNA", at positions 34 to 600 of the family's 1831-position model. Lineage: Eukaryota; Ciliophora; Litostomatea; Cyclotrichida; Mesodiniidae. The record is from RNAcentral.